This 501-nucleotide ribosomal RNA is filed under the name uncultured bacterium. Its description in RNAcentral is "bacterial SSU rRNA". It matches the Rfam family "Bacterial small subunit ribosomal RNA", at positions 29 to 526 of the family's 1533-position model. The record is from RNAcentral.
AACGAACGCUGGCGGCAGGCCUAACACAUGCAAGUCGAGCGAUCCUUCGGGAUAGCGGCGGACGGGUGAGUAACGCGUGGGAAUAUGCCCUUCACUACGGAAUAGCCCAGGGAAACUUGGAUUAAUACCGUAUACGCCCUUUGGGGGAAAGAUUUAUCGGUGAAGGAUUAGCCCGCGUUGGAUUAGGUAGUUGGUGGGGUAAUGGCCUACCAAGCCUACGAUCCAUAGCUGGUUUGAGAGGAUGAUCAGCCACACUGGGACUGAGACACGGCCCAGACUCCUACGGGAGGAAGCAGUGGGGAAUCUUAGACAAUGGGGGCAACCCUGAUCUAGCCAUGUUGCGUGGGGGAUGAAAGCUGUUUUGGUUGUAAACCCCUAAUUUAAGAUAAAUCUGUAGCUACAUACAACUGCAUUUUGCGAAAUAGUUACAGAUUUAGAGGAUGAUGACGUACGCUUAAAGAAAAGUCCCGGCUAACUCUGUGCCAGCCGCCGCCGUAAGAC